This 289-nucleotide ribosomal RNA is filed under the name uncultured bacterium. RNAcentral's name for it is "partial 16S ribosomal RNA". It matches the Rfam family "Bacterial small subunit ribosomal RNA", at positions 356 to 635 of the family's 1533-position model. The record is from RNAcentral.
AGGGAAUCUUCCACAAUGGACGAAAGUCUGAUGGAGCAACGCCGCGUGAGUGAUGAAGGGUUUCGGCUCGUAAAACUCUGUUGUUGGAGAAGAACAGGUGUGAGAGUAACUGUUCACAUCUUGACGGUAUCCAACCAGAAAGCCACGGCUAACUACGUGCCAGCAGCCGCGGUAAUACGUAGGUGGCAAGCGUUGUCCGGAUUUAUUGGGCGUAAAGCGAGCGCAGGCGGUUUUCUUAGGUCUGAUGUGAAAGCCUUCGGCUUAACCGGAGAAGUGCAUCGGGAAACCA